GACGAACGCUGGCGGCGUGCUUAACACAUGCAAGUCGAACGGAAAGGCCCUGCUUUUGUGGGGUGCUCGAGUGGCGAACGGGUGAGUAACACGUGAGUAACCUGCCCUUGACUUUGGGAUAACUUCAGGAAACUGGGGCUAAUACCGGAUAGGAGCUCCUGCUGCAUGGUGGGGGUUGGAAAGUUUCGGCGGUUGGGGAUGGACUCGCGGCUCAUCAGCUUGUUGGUGGGGUAGUGGCUUACCAAGGCUUCGACGGGUAGCCGGCCUGAGAGGGUGACCGGCCACAUUGGGACUGAGAUGCGGCCCAGACUGCUACGGGAGGCAGCAGUGGGGAAUAUUGCACAGUGGGCGGAAGCCGGAUGCAGCAGCUCCGCGUGCGGGAUGACGGCCUUCGGGUUGUAAACCGCUUUCGCCUGUGACGAAGCGUGAGUGACGGUAAUGGGUAAAGAAGCACCGGCUAACUACGUG
This 468-nucleotide ribosomal RNA is filed under the name uncultured bacterium. Its description in RNAcentral is "partial 16S ribosomal RNA". It matches the Rfam family "Bacterial small subunit ribosomal RNA", at positions 28 to 507 of the family's 1533-position model. The record is from RNAcentral.